AUGAAUCAGCAGCAUUCUGCUGGUUGAAAGAAUGGCUGCUUCUUGAGAACACAGACAUUUUGGAUUUAGAAGGUUUCAAUAAUGUUUUUGGGUGGCAUGCAUAUUUGUGGUAUGACAAGGUUAAAGCACAUAAAGCAUUUAAAAACCAUAUUGUUAGGAAAGCAUUGUUAAAUGUCUGGAUAAGAUAUAAGGACUUACUUGAAAAUAAAACCCCAAGGUGGUUGUCACCGAUGGAAGCAAAGGCUCAGAAAAAGCUCAGUAUGGAGGCCAAAUGGCCGAAAUAUUGGGAAAUUUUGGAACAAGAAGGAGACAAAUUGAAAUUGCAGAGUUUUGAGAAAUUAAAAGAUAAAGUGCGAGACUGGCUUCAUUAUUAUCAGAUAAUGGAGGCAUACAAUUUGGACAAGAAAAUUGGCUUCCAGGUGGAAAAAUCAAAAUUAGAAACAGAACUGUUAGAACCCAAAACUAAGAUUUUGUCAAAGAUGUAUAACUUGCUGUUGAAAUGGAAUACUCAGGAUGAAACGGUGAAAUCUGCUAUGAUUAAAUGGGCACAAGAUGUUGGACAUAACAUUAUGUUUGCUGACUGGGAACAGUUGUGGACUACAGGUAUGAAAUUUACGGCAUGUAAUGCCCUAAGAGAGAAUAUUAUGAAAAUGAUAUACAGGUGGUACAUGACACCAGUCAAGCUUGCAAAAAUCUAUCAUUUGCCCGAUAAUAAAUGUUGGAAAUGUAAGGAAAACGAAGGUACAUUCUUUCACCUUUGGUGGACGUGCCCAAAGAUUAAGGCUUUCUGGGAGAUGAUCUAUAAUGAAAUGAAAAAGGUAUUUAAAUAUACCUUUCUAAAGAAACCAGAGGCCUUCCUGUUGGGCAUAGUCGGCCAAUUGGUGCCAAAGAAGGAUAGGACUUUCUUUAUGUAUGCCACAACAGCAGCAAGAAUACUUAUUGCAAAGUAUUGGAAGACACAAGAUCUACCCACCUUGGAAGAAUGGCAGAUGAAGGUGAUGGACUAUAUGGAACUGGCAGAAAUGACUGGCAGAAUCCGAGACCAGGGAGAAGAGUCGGUGGAAGAAGAUUGGAAAAAGUUUAAAGACUAUUUACAGAAAUAUUGUAAAAUUAAUGAAUGUUAGAAUGAUGUUGGAUAGAAACUAAGUGGUUUCUAGCUGUAAUGUUAUAAGGGAAUAUGAAAAAAUGGACUAUUAAUAGGUAAAAAUCUAAUGUUACAAUACUUUAAGAUUGAAGAUUAGGAUAAACAAAGAGGGAGGGAUUUGCUGAACUAACAAACUGAAUUGGAAUACAGAAAAGGGAGGCGUGAGGAGGUCUGGGAAAUAAGCAAAUGAAAGAUAAGUGAUUGAAAGACUGAAUUGUUUUUAACUAUUUUUAUUUUGUGUUUUUCUUUUUUCUUUUUUUUAUUUUGUAAUAUUUUGAAAAUCUUAAUAAAUAUCUU
This is a non-coding RNA of Podarcis lilfordi (Lilford's wall lizard), 1441 nucleotides long. Lineage: Eukaryota; Metazoa; Chordata; Lepidosauria; Squamata; Lacertidae. The record is from the annotation of a GenBank genome assembly.